UACGGAGGGAGCAAGCGUUACUCGGAAUCACUGGGCGUAAAGUGCACGUAGGCGGCCUAGCAAGUCUGGGGUGAAAGCCCAGGGCUCAACCCUGGAAGGGCACUGGAAACUGUUAGGAUUGAGUUCCGGAGAGGAGGGGGGAAUUCCCGGUGUAGCGGUGAAAUGCGUAGAUAUCCGGAGGAAUACCGGUGGCGAAGGCGCCCCUCUGGACGGAAACUGACGCUGAGGCGCGAUAGCGUGGGGAGCAAACACG
RNAcentral lists this ribosomal RNA (253 nucleotides) under uncultured bacterium. RNAcentral describes it as "partial 16S ribosomal RNA". It matches the Rfam family "Bacterial small subunit ribosomal RNA", at positions 524 to 776 of the family's 1533-position model. The record is from RNAcentral.